Molecule: ribosomal RNA, 211 nt
Filed under: Clostridioides difficile
Lineage: Bacteria; Bacillati; Bacillota; Clostridia; Peptostreptococcales; Peptostreptococcaceae
Description: partial 23S ribosomal RNA
Rfam family: Bacterial large subunit ribosomal RNA
Source: RNAcentral
ACACAGGUGGGUGAGGAGAGUAUCCUAAGGCCAGCGAGAGAACUGUUGUUAAGGAACUCGGCAAAAUGACCCCGUAACUUAGGGAUAAGGGGUGCCACCAUCCGGUGGUCGCAGAGAAUAGGCCCAAGCGACUGUUUACCAAAAACAUAGGUUUCUGCUAAGUCGCAAGACGAUGUAUAGGAGCUGACGCCUGCCCGGUGCUGGAAGGUUA